UCCGUAUGUGUGCAUGUGCGUAUAUUCAUAUACGUGUGUGUGCACACACACACACACACACACACACACACACAUACACACAC
Molecule: microRNA precursor, 83 nt
Filed under: Pteropus vampyrus (large flying fox)
Lineage: Eukaryota; Metazoa; Chordata; Mammalia; Chiroptera; Pteropodidae
Description: miRNA (ENSPVAG00000026811.1)
Source: RNAcentral